Long non-coding RNA from Girardinichthys multiradiatus, 1399 nucleotides. RefSeq lists it as uncharacterized. The record is from RefSeq and is a predicted model, not a curated record. The transcript has 2 exons. NCBI's taxonomy places the organism in Eukaryota, Metazoa, Chordata, Actinopteri, Cyprinodontiformes, Goodeidae.
UGUGAGAGACUGCAGAGAAUGGCCUAGCAUAGCGAAUCAGUGGCCCAUCCCUGUACUGGAGUUAGUGAUUAAUCACUAAACAAAUACUUACUAAAGACCUCCACUAAUUUUCUUUUAUGGAUGCAAUACUCCCCUGUGGUUUCAGAUCAACGCUUUCCUUGUUAUCCACGUAUGCAUCUUUUUGUUCGCAUCGGGCAUGCACCAUCAAAGCUGCGAGGCACAUCAAAGAUUUCAGGGCAGCUUUUGCGUGGGCAGCCAUGUCACAUACGGUUGGGUUUAUGGCUGAUAACUUUCUCUCAAGGAGGCAAGUCAUUUCCGUUCCUCCCCACCUCCACAAACACCCACAUGUGUACACACACCUAUGUUAUGGUGAGAAAAGAAACACUUUGUGUUAAAUGAUUGUGUUCACAACGAGGAGUCUUUUAAUCAUUAACUUCAUAACAGGUAGUUCAUAUCCACUUUUUGAGGGACAUAAAGCAGAAAGAAGUCUUUGGACUGCACUCUGGAUUUAAAUCAGCGUACCGAGGCAAGAAUAAAGAGAGAAGAGUUUUCAGAAAUGGCGGGCGAAUCAUCUACACGAUGAGCAAGACUGAGUCAUGAGCCCCAGCAAAUCCACCAACAAAGAAGCUCAAAGCUUACUGCUGCAGAAACUACAGCCACACAGUCCUAGGUCUCUGCUUUAUAUGUCUGAUCAUUUUCUAUAUUUUGGAAUAUAUUUCUCUUUCUGAACAGGGUUUAUGGAUAAUGUUGGAUUCAGGAAUUCGUUCUGUAGGUGUGUUCAGAAUUUACCCGUGAGUACAUGUGCUGAAAAAGUUCUACUUCUUUAUUGGUCCAAGAUGAAGUUCUUUUCCUGUUAGAUCGGAUUAAAAGUCUUUUUUUGUAACUUUGAAAUGCAUUAAAAUCCAUAAGAAAUGUAGAAUUUAAAACUAAAAGUUGUUUUUCUUGUUCAGUAAAAUGUUGGAAAACUGCAAAACUGAUUAUUUUUAGAGGAUUCUUUUGAGGCAUGCUGAAGCGGGUAGUCCUGUUUAUUUAAAAAUGUGAAACUGUAACAAAAUGUCUCUCAUGUCAAGUAGAAACCAAAGGAGUAUACAUCUUAUUAAAUUGCUUUGAAUACAAAAAACAAAAAAGCCGCUACAUGAGGAAUUAGGAAGUUUAAGCAGAACAUUUAUAAAAAGCCUGAAUCCAAAGGUUGUUAACCUUAAGUCCUUUAGUUAAUUCUCUACAUUAGGUAUAAAUCCUUGCCCAGAACUUAAACUGCCCAUGUUUAGUAUAUGUUGAGAAGAAUUAGGUAAAAACUAGUAAAUUCAAACCUGCACACUUUUAAUUUACAAUUUACUGUAAAUGUCAUAACUGCUUCAUAACGCUUGUAUUUAAGUGUAAUAAAUAAGGUUGAAAAAUA